GGAGAGAUGGCAGAGUGGUCGAUUGCGUCUGAUUUGAAAUCAGAUGAACUUAAAAAAAAGUUCCGUGAGUUCGAAUCUCACUCUCUCCU
RNAcentral lists this transfer RNA (89 nucleotides) under Poteriospumella lacustris. Its description in RNAcentral is "tRNA-Ser". It matches the Rfam family "tRNA". From Rfam's summary of the family: Transfer RNA (tRNA) molecules are approximately 80 nucleotides in length. Lineage: Eukaryota; Chrysophyceae; Chromulinales; Dinobryaceae. The record is from RNAcentral.